Molecule: ribosomal RNA, 482 nt
Filed under: uncultured bacterium
Lineage: Bacteria
Description: partial 16S ribosomal RNA
Rfam family: Bacterial small subunit ribosomal RNA
Source: RNAcentral
GACGAACGCUGGCGGCGUGCCUAACACAUGCAAGUCGAACGGAACUGUUUUGAUAGAUUUCUUCGGAAUGAAUUUGAUUUAGUUUAGUGGCGGACGGGUGAGUAACGCGUGAGUAACCUGCCUUCAAGAGGGGAAUAACAUUCUGAAAAGAAUGCUAAUACCGCAUGACAUAUCGGAACCACAUGGUUUUGAUAUCAAAGAUUUUAUCGCUUGAAGAUGGACUCGCGUCCGAUUAGUUAGUUGGUGAGGUAACGGCUCACCAAGACCGCGAUCGGUAGCCGGACUGAGAGGUUGAACGGCCACAUUGGGACUGAGACACGGCACAGACUCCUACGGGAGGCAGCAGUAGGGGAUAUUGCGCAAUGGGGGCAACCCUGACGCAGCAACGCCGCGUGAAGGAUGAAGGUUUUCGGAAUGUAAACUUCUUUUAUUAAGGACGAAAAAUGACGGUACUUAAUGAAUAAGCUCCGGCUAACUACGUG